This 1756-nucleotide long non-coding RNA is filed under the name Pan troglodytes (chimpanzee). Its description in RNAcentral is "long non-coding RNA NONPTRT004619". Lineage: Eukaryota; Metazoa; Chordata; Mammalia; Primates; Hominidae. The record is from RNAcentral.
CAGGGGUUGCCCCUUGCCACAGGGUGGGCAGGUGGCCUCCAGGGAGGAAGGUGUGUCUGGGGCUGACGAGGGAGCAUGCAGAGGUCCUGGGGGGAGGCUGGUGUGGCGACUUGAGAGACACAAGGAGCCGAGAUGCCGCAGGAGGGCAGGGCAUGAAACCACAUGGGUCAUGGUGAGGAUGGUGGCCUUUAUUCUGAGCAAAGUAGGGAGUUACUAGCAGAUUUUGUGCGAGAAAUGGAAUCAUUUUCACAGCAUCACUCUGCUGUGCUGGAAACGGCUGUCGGGAGGUUUGUGAGCAGGAAGGACGGGAUACUCAUGAGGAAGAAGGCAGGCAACUGCCGGAGGGGGCUGCUGCUUUUCGUGGUUUGAGUUGAAGGAGUGGGCCUUGCAUAAUGGUGCGCACCUGUAAUCCCAGAAUCUUGGUAGGGCAAGGUGGGAGGAUCGCUUGAGACUGGGAGGUCAAGGUUGCGGUGAGCUGUGAUUGCACCACUGCACCCCAGCCAGGGCAACAGAGGGAGACACUGUGUCAAUCAACCAAUCAAUUAAUAAGAGUGGCGGACGGCUUGGAUGUGGGGAGCAAGAGAAGAAAAAGUCAAUGGAGCAGAAUUGCCGGGUCACACGCUGGGAAGAACCCAAUGUUUGUGUCCUCCCAAAAUGCACAAGUCAAAAUCCCAACCCUCAAGAUGAUGGGAUUAGGAGGCGAGGCCUUGGGAGGUGAGGAGGUCGUGAGGGUGAAGCCUCAUGAAUGGGAAUCGUGCCCCCAAUAAAGAGGCCUGAGAGAGCUCCCUCGCCCCUUCUUCCACAUGAGGACCCAGUGAGAAGGCGCCGGAUAUGAGCCAGGAAGGGGACUUCGGAGGACAGCAAAUCUGCCACACCUCCAUCUAGAACUUCCAGCCCCCAGAAGUGUGAGCAAAAAGUGUCCGCUGUUUAUAAGCCACCCAGGCUGUGGCAUUUUUGUUACAGUCCAGAUGGGCUAUGACAUACAGGAAUUCUGUUUCACCCUCUGAGGACCUGCCAGGCUAUUUUACAAAGUGGCUGCACCAUUUCACGUUCCCACCAGCAUUGCGUGCAGGCUCCCAGGCAGAGACACUGUGCUUCUCUCUCCUGGGAACUGUCACCUACAGCAGGCACCAACCUGGGCAGCAGUCGGCUGGAGAACCACGUCAUCAAUGAGCUUCCGGGGAAGGAGUGGAGACAGAUGAGCCUGCAGUGUGGUCAUUGCCAGGACUGAGCCAGCACCGGGAAGCUGCGGGAGCCACUGGCUGGGGGCGGCAGGGACUGCCCCAGACUCACAGGGAGAGGGGUGUUCACCAAGGGCUUCUAGGGAGAGGCCACGCCGUGGAAGAGUGAAACCCAGCAGGCCACAGGACGGAGCAGCCAGCAUGGACUCAGCUCUGUCUAUAUGGGUCCUGAGUCCCGUUCCCACGUGAUAACCAGUGACUACACUGACAGACACAAUUUUAGCUAAGAGCAAGAUGUUUGCAGGGGUAGACUGUGCAGUCUUCCCAUGGGAAUGUGUGGAGCUGCCGUGGGGUUCUUUGGAAAUAGGACAAGUGCCACGGGGACCCGUUACCUCUGAGGACCCCUAACUAUGAAGCUAUUAACCCUGUAACGGACUUGGCUAACAACUUGAGCAAAGCACUCAGACCUGACUCCCAGCAGAGCAGCCCAGCCAGGCUGAGAGCAGGGGAUUCGGGGGCUCCUAGACAGGGGUGUGAGUCCAGUUUCCCCAUCACCACAGGCUGAACUGUGUUCC